CUACGGGGUGCUCCAGUGGGGAAUAUUGCACAAUGGGCGCAAGCCUGAUGCAGCCAUGCCGCGUGUAUGAAGAAGGCCUUCGGGUUGUAAAGUACUUUCAGCGGGGAGGAAGGGAGUAAAGUUAACACCUUUGCCCAUUGACGUUACCCGCAGAAGAAGCACCGGCUAACUCCGUGCCAGCAGCCGCGGUAAUACGGAGGGUGCAAGCGUUAAUCGGAAUUACUGGGCGUAAAGCGCACGCAGGCGGUUUGUUAAGUCAGAUGUGAAAUCCCCGGGCUCAACCUGGGAACUGCAUCUGAUACUGGCAAGCUAGAGUCUCGUAGAGGGGGGUAGAAUUCCAGGUGUAGCGGUGAAAUGCGUAGAGAUCUGGAGGAAUACCGGUGGCGAAGGCGGCCCCCUGGACGAAGACUGACGCUCAGGUGCGAAAGCGUGGGGAGCAAACAGGAUUAGAUACCCCAGUAGUC
Molecule: ribosomal RNA, 464 nt
Filed under: uncultured bacterium
Lineage: Bacteria
Description: partial 16S ribosomal RNA
Rfam family: Bacterial small subunit ribosomal RNA
Source: RNAcentral